RNAcentral lists this ribosomal RNA (549 nucleotides) under uncultured bacterium. Its description in RNAcentral is "bacterial SSU rRNA". It matches the Rfam family "Bacterial small subunit ribosomal RNA", at positions 355 to 896 of the family's 1533-position model. The record is from RNAcentral.
UGGGGAAUAUUGGACAAUGGGCGAAAGCCUGAUCCAGCCAUGCCGCGUGUGUGAAAAAGGCCUUUUGGUUGUAAAGCACUUUAAGUGGGGAGGAAAAGCUUAUGGUUAAUACCCAUAAGCCCUGACGUUACCCACAGAAUAAGCACCGGCUAACUCUGUGCCAGCAGCCGCGGUAAUACAGAGGGUGCAAGCGUUAAUCGGAAUUACUGGGCGUAAAGCGCGCGUAGGUGGUUAUUUAAGUCAGAUGUGAAAGCCCCGGGCUUAACCUGGGAACUGCAUCUGAUACUGGAUAACUAGAGUAGGUGAGAGGGGAGUAGAAUUCCAGGUGUAGCGGUGAAAUGCGUAGAGAUCUGGAGGAAUACCGAUGGCGAAGGCAGCUCCCUGGCAUCAUACUGACACUGAGGUGCGAAAGCGUGGGUAGCAAACAGGAUUAGAUACCCUGGUAGUCCACGCCGUAAACGAUGUCUACCAGUCGUUGGGUCUUUUAAAGACUUAGUGACGCAGUUAACGCAAUAAGUAGACCGCCUGGGGAGUACGGCCGCAAGGUUA